CCAAGCGUUUACAGACGUGCUUCGCUAUUUAAACUGUGCGCUCCGCGCUUGCGACAAAACGCCCCCUUACGCGAACCGAAGCUGCUGCGGAUUUGCGUGGACGAAAAGCCCAGAGACUCGUCAAAAUGAGUGACAGCAACCCGGUUAAGCAGGAGGUGCAGAACUUCGACAAGAAGUGUCUAAAGAAGACAACCACUGCAGAAAAGAACACCCUCCCUACCAAGGAAGACAUCGAGCAGGAGAAGAGGGCGGAAGCCUCGAAAUGAAAAGCCAGGCCUCAAGACCCCCGCUGCCCUGGCUCUGCCCGACCUCCGCCGAAAUGAUCUACCUGUCGGUCCCUGCCGUUCCUCCUCGGCGCCUCACGCUCCACUGAACAGCACUCGUUCAGACCCUGUGGAGAAAGAGGUGCCGCGGGGGGAUGGAGGGCAGGUGGAGGUGCGGCGGCCACAGUGGGGAUGUGCUCCAGUUUUAAUGCCAAUUUCAGCUGUGUAAAUUUUGAUUCUUGCUUUAUAUAACUCAUUCCUGGCAGUGAAGGAAGUGGGAGGGAGUCGUUUGGAGGCUUGCUAUCAACAAACGGGGCGACCUGCGCCUGUGCUGUUCGGACAACACCGGUUCCGCCGUUGGCGCCUCCCAUGUGGUGCUGCCGCCAUUCCGGAUGCGUGCAUUAACAAUGUUAAAAUAUUUUCUCUAUUUCUGUUUUUAAACAAAAUAAAGAUGUUUUAAAAGGGAUUUUGUGAAGAGUC
Molecule: long non-coding RNA, 743 nt
Filed under: Scleropages formosus (Asian bonytongue)
Lineage: Eukaryota; Metazoa; Chordata; Actinopteri; Osteoglossiformes; Osteoglossidae
Description: lncRNA (ENSSFOG00015033191.1)
Source: RNAcentral